CGGUCGCGUAACACGUGGGCAACCUGCCCCAGAGCGGGGGAUAACAAUCCGAAAGGGUUGCUAAUACCGCAUGUGGAUGUUCUCGGCAUCGAGAGCUUUCUAAAGGAUUUAUUCACUCUGGGAUGGGCCCGCGGCCUAUCAGCUAGUUGGUGGGGUAACGGCCUACCAAGGCUUCGACGGGUAGCUGGUCUGAGAGGACGAUCAGCCGGAUUGGGACUGAGAUACGGCCCAG
Molecule: ribosomal RNA, 232 nt
Filed under: uncultured bacterium
Lineage: Bacteria
Description: partial 16S ribosomal RNA
Rfam family: Bacterial small subunit ribosomal RNA
Source: RNAcentral